Molecule: long non-coding RNA, 228 nt
Filed under: Elaeis guineensis (African oil palm)
Lineage: Eukaryota; Viridiplantae; Streptophyta; Magnoliopsida; Arecales; Arecaceae
Description: long non-coding RNA (EGUI_LNC039657)
Source: RNAcentral
GGUUUUGAUUCGAUUUGUUUGAAUCGUUCUUUCUAGCACUUAAUCUAAUGGAUGUAAAUCAGGUUGUAAUGAUCAACGUCUAAGCAUACACCCAAAAGAUCUUAUCGAGUUUUAAUUUCAAUAAGUUUUAUUUUUAUUUUUUGAAAGAGAAGAAGAGAAAAGGAGGGGGAGAGAAAAGAGUUAUAAAGAAGAGAAUCUAAAGAGUUCUAAGGCUAAGAAGAGAGAAGA